GCAAAACGCGAAGAACCUUACCAGGUCUUGACAUCCCGCUGCCCGCUCUAGAGAUAGAGUUUUCCCUUCGGGGACAGCGGUGACAGGUGGUGCAUGGUUGUCGUCAGCUCGUGUCGUGAGAUGUUGGGUUAAGUCCCGCAACGAGCGCAACCCUUGAUCUUAGUUGCCAGCAUUCAGUUGGGCACUCUAAGGUGACUGCCGGUGAUAAACCGGAGGAAGGUGGGGAUGACGUCAAAUCAUCAUGCCCCUUAUGACCUGGGCUACACACGUGCUACAAUGGACGGUACAGAGGGUCGCAACCCCGCGAGGGUGAGCAAAUCCCAUAAAACCGUUCUCAGUUCGGAUUGUAGGCUGCAACUCGCCUACAUGAAGCCGGAAUCGCUAGUAAUCGUGGAUCAGCAUGCCACGGUGAAUACGUUCCCGGGUCUUGUACACACCG
RNAcentral lists this ribosomal RNA (439 nucleotides) under uncultured bacterium. Its description in RNAcentral is "bacterial SSU rRNA". It matches the Rfam family "Bacterial small subunit ribosomal RNA", at positions 954 to 1392 of the family's 1533-position model. The record is from RNAcentral.